This 471-nucleotide ribosomal RNA is filed under the name uncultured organism. RNAcentral's name for it is "partial 16S ribosomal RNA". It matches the Rfam family "Bacterial small subunit ribosomal RNA", at positions 334 to 797 of the family's 1533-position model. The record is from RNAcentral.
CACUCCUACGGAGGCAGCAGUGGGGAAUAUUGCACAAUGGGCGCAAGCCUGAUGCAGCCAUGCCGCGUGUAUGAAGAAGGCCUUCGGGUUGUAAAGUACUUUCAGCGGGGAGGAAGGCGAUAAGGUUAAUAACCUUGUUGAUUGACGUUACCCGCAGAAGAAGCACCGGCUAACUCCGUGCCAGCAGCCGCGGUAAUACGGAGGGUGCAAGCGUUAAUCGGAAUUACUGGGCGUAAAGCGCACGCAGGCGGUCUGUCAAGUCGGAUGUGAAAUCCCCGGGCUCAACCUGGGAACUGCAUUGGAAACUGGCAGGCUAGAGUCUUGUAGAGGGAGGUAGAAUUCCAGGUGUAGCGGUGAAAUGCGUAGAGAUCUGGAGGAAUACCGGUGGCGAAGGCGGCCCCCUGGACAAAGACUGACGCUCAGGUGCGAAAGCGUGGGGAGCAAACAGGAUUAGAUACCCCAGUAGUCCCA